Molecule: ribosomal RNA, 406 nt
Filed under: uncultured bacterium
Lineage: Bacteria
Description: partial 16S ribosomal RNA
Rfam family: Bacterial small subunit ribosomal RNA
Source: RNAcentral
AUUGAACGCUGGCGGCAGGCUUAACACAUGCAAGUCGAGCGAGAGGCGGACGGGGGAGUAAUGUGUGGGAAACUGCCUGAUGGAGGGGGAUAACUACUGGAAAAGGUAGCUAAUACCGCAUACCCUCAGAUGUGCCCAGAUGGGAGUAGCUAGUAGGUGGGGUGACGGCUCACCUAGGCGACGAUCCCUAGCUGGUCUGAGAGGAUGAGCAGCCACACUGGAACUGAGACACGGUCCAGACUCCUACGUGAGGCAGCAGUGGGGAAUAUUGCACAAUGGGCGCAAGCCUGAUGCAGCCAUGCCGCGUGUGCGAAGAAGGCCUUCGGGUUGUAAAGCACUUUCAGCGGGGAGGCGUUACUCGCAGAAGAAGCACCGGCUAACUCCGUGCCAGCAGCCGCGGUAAUUC